RNAcentral lists this ribosomal RNA (433 nucleotides) under uncultured bacterium. RNAcentral's name for it is "partial 16S ribosomal RNA". It matches the Rfam family "Bacterial small subunit ribosomal RNA", at positions 29 to 507 of the family's 1533-position model. The record is from RNAcentral.
AACGAACGCUGGCGGCAUGCCUAACACAUGCAAGUCGAACGAGACCUUCGGGUCUAGUGGCGCACGGGUGCGUAACGCGUGGGAACCUGCCCUUAGGUUCGGAAUAACUCCCCGAAAGGGGUGCUAAUACCGGAUAAUGUCUUCGGACCAAAGAUUUAUCGCUUUUGGAUGGGCCCGCGUUGGAUUAGCUAGUUGGUAGGGUAAAAGCCUACCAAGGCGACGAUCCAUAGCUGGUCUGAGAGGAUGAUCAGCCACACUGGGACUGAGACACGGCCCAGACUCCUACGGGAGGCAGCAGUGGGGAAUAUUGGAGAAUGGGCGAAAGCCUGAUCCAGCAAUGCCGCGUGAGUGAUGAAGGCCUUAGGGUUGUAAAGCUCUUUUACACGGGAUGAUAAUGACAGUACCGGGAGAAUAAGCUCCGGCUAACUCCGUG